Long non-coding RNA from Cyprinus carpio carpio, 1139 nucleotides. Lineage: Eukaryota; Metazoa; Chordata; Actinopteri; Cypriniformes; Cyprinidae. The record is from Ensembl.
GAGGUCUUAUUGUAAAGUGAUACCUAUGGGUCUUUAAAGUUCUUUUGCACUUUAAUCGGUGUAAAUUUUUUAACUUUAAAUAUAUUUUUUGUAUUGGUUUAUUGUAUUUAAAUGUUCAGUUAUUUUUGUUAUAAGAAAAAAGUUAACCUGUUAUACUGUAUUAUGACCACUUUUUUAAACUAAAUUUCAAUACCGUGAUAAUACCGUGACAAAACAUUAUCAAUUAAUCGCAACAGGAAAAUUUGAUACCGGCAUAUCCCUACAUACAGGUAUAUUAUAAUUAGACUAAGAUUUCAAUCUAAUAGCUCGAAAGAAUUCGCUUUACCUUGACGUAAAGUAGCCAUGGUUUUAUUAUAGUAAAAGUGUAGUAACAUGUUUUUUUAGUGUAAUGAUUACCAUGUGUAUAUAUAGAUGCAAUAUGGCUAACUAACAUUUUAAACGUGCACACAAGACUCUCGAAAUGCAUGUUCUCUUCCGUAUAUAACUUAAUUCGUGUAACAUUUGAAUAAAACUGUUAAAAUAUAAUAUAUCAGACGCUGCUUACCUCCUUUUGCCAUCAAUCAACCGUUAUAUACCACUUCCUCUGAACCGCGUGCGUGUGACGUCACCUGGGGCAGGGCAACGCGAUACUCCACCUGAGUCCGUUUCGUCUGAUGCCUUUUUGUCUGAGUCCGUUUCGUCUGAUGCCUUUUUGUCUGAGUCCGUUUCGUCUGAUGCCUAAUUGUAUGAGACCUGACGUCCUUUUUCCUGAGACCUGAAGCUUUUCAGUCUGAGGCGCGAUGCCGUUUUGUCCAAUGACUGAAGCCUUUUAGUCUGAGGCAUGACGCCUUUUUAUUUGAUGACUGAGGUCUGAGGAUGUCCUAAAAUGUACACCGUAUUACUGACAAGCUCAUUUUAAUACUUAUAAUUGGUUAAAUAUUUGUAAAACCCUCUGAUUUAAAAUAAUAAUGAAUUAGAAUUGAGAUAUGAAGUUUGGAUAGUUUUUCACGGCACACCUGACUGGGUCACGGUACGGCAAUUGCCAUACUCUGCCAUAUGGAAACGCCACCCUGGAGGAGGGGGAGCCGCCAAAAUGAGGUGCCGGAUCAGAUUUUGGAGGUGCUGGAUCCGGAUCCUGCUUGUUCUGGCACAAAUUAAUC